This 467-nucleotide ribosomal RNA is filed under the name uncultured bacterium. Its description in RNAcentral is "partial 16S ribosomal RNA". It matches the Rfam family "Bacterial small subunit ribosomal RNA", at positions 28 to 506 of the family's 1533-position model. The record is from RNAcentral.
GACGAACGCUGGCGGCGUGCUUAACACAUGCAAGUCGAACGGAAAGGCCCUGCUUUUGUGGGGUGCUCGAGUGGCGAACGGGUGAGUAACACGUGAGUAACCUGCCCUUGACUUUGGGAUAACUUCAGGAAACUGGGGCUAAUACCGGAUAGGAGCUCCUGCUGCAUGGUGGGGGUUGGAAAGUUUCGGCGGUUGGGGAUGGACUCGCGGCUUAUCAGCUGGUUGGUGGGGUAGUGGCUUACCAAGGCUUUGACGGGUAGCCGGCCUGGGAGGGUGACCGGCCACAGUGGGACUGAGGUACGGCCCAGACUCCUACGGGAGGCAGGGGUGGGGAAUAUUGCACAAAGGGCGGAAGCCUGAUGCAGAAACGCCGCGUGCGGGAUGACGGCCUUCGGGUGGUAAACCGCUUUCGCCUGUGACGAAGCGUGAGUGACGGUAAUGGGGAAAGAAGCACCGCCUAACUACGU